UGGCCUCGAAUCAGGUAGGGAUACCCGCUGAACUUAAGCAUAUCAAUAAGCGGAGGA
This 57-nucleotide ribosomal RNA is filed under the name Desmazierella acicola. RNAcentral's name for it is "partial large subunit ribosomal RNA". It matches the Rfam family "Eukaryotic large subunit ribosomal RNA", at positions 1 to 57 of the family's 3401-position model. The record is from RNAcentral. Lineage: Eukaryota; Fungi; Ascomycota; Pezizomycetes; Pezizales; Sarcoscyphaceae.